This is a long non-coding RNA of Prunus persica (peach), 511 nucleotides long. RefSeq lists it as uncharacterized. NCBI's taxonomy places the organism in Eukaryota, Viridiplantae, Streptophyta, Magnoliopsida, Rosales, Rosaceae. The record is from RefSeq and is a predicted model, not a curated record. The transcript has 2 exons.
UCUCUCUGUCUUCAUUCUUCUAUUUCUUCUCUUCAACAUUUCAUAACCCAGCAAGAAUACAAAAACACUAACAACUCCAUGCCCUAGUGAAAAAUAUUGGCCAGCUACAAAUCAGCAGCCUAUUGCUCCUGGCAUGCCAAAUAGGCCGACAGCAAGAGAGUAAUAUGAGCCACAACCACCAUCAACCUCAAAAGAAUUGCCUAGAGGCUUCAUUAAGAUCACAUGCAGCAAGUGUGUGGCGACAAAGAUCAUAACGUACAACCAGAUAAUACAUGCCAGUGAAGGAGGAGAUAUGGGUAGCGAAACUUCACCAAAUCUGAGACAAGCACAAUCUGCAUCAACUGCAACUUCAUUCAUUUUCUUUUCUCUAGACACUUGUUUCACAUCAUUAUAUGCACUAAUCACUUUAUCACCAGUCAUACCUUGCAUAUUGCAAUAAUUCCAUUUGAAAUUUUAGUGGAAGAUUCUGAAUUAUUUUCCAACCAGAGAUAAUAGUGAUUUUGCUUUUUCU